This is a long non-coding RNA of Bombus huntii, 1147 nucleotides long. RefSeq lists it as uncharacterized. Lineage: Eukaryota; Metazoa; Arthropoda; Insecta; Hymenoptera; Apidae. The record is from RefSeq and is a predicted model, not a curated record. The transcript has 3 exons.
UCGAAGAAUUGAAGAAAGAAGUAAAUGAACAGUGCGAGAAAUUGGAGCGCGAUAUCAACGAUGUUGAGUUGUUAAUUAAGAGAAACAAAGAACUGGAAGAAGAAAACAAGAUGAUACUUGAAAGGGAUUUCGAAUUGAAUAGGCAGCUUUCUGAAUUGCAGGAAAGGUUGGUCAAUAAGGACAAGAUAAUCAGGUUGAAAACCACGCUGGUGCAAAAUAAACAAAAGGACAUAACUAUCCUUAAAGAAAAAACUGAACAAUUGCUACAUAUAUAUGAGAAGAGUAUGAAAAACAAUUUGAGGGACAUAAGUGACAUGUGUGCGGAAAUUUGCAAUCAGCCGUCUACCACUCAGGACGACCCGGACGAAAUGGAAACAACGGUUUAAUAUUUUAUUUCUAUCGCGAUAUUUGCAUAAACGAAGAAGAGAAUAUUUCAUAUGUGGUUAGAACGUAUGACAAAAUUCGAUUAUAGUGACAGGUGGAUAAUCGCAGUUCUCAUUGAUACGUGUGUCAACUGUACGAUUAUCUACCAUUCACUUAAUUCGGUUAAUUUAUUACUUCAGGAACAUACGUAUUCUCCGUUGAUAUAAUCGUUACGAUAUUUUAUAUCUUUCCUUUCUCUUCCAACAAUUUGUUAGAAAAUUCUCAUCGAAUAUUGAACCGAUCUCUUUCCGCAACUUAGUCUCCUCUUUCGUAUCGAAUGGUUUUAUAUCUGUGGUUUCAAUUAUUUAUAUAUGUGUGUGUGUGUGAGCUGUUAGGCUUGUGAUUUUAGCUAAGACGUAAUUAGACUAUAGGACUAUUAAUUGAGAUUUUAGCGUGACGAAGAUAACGUAACUAAGUACAUGUGAGAAGUGUAUCGACCUUUUAGCUACGAAUAGCGCGGACAAAGACGUUGACGAAUUCAGCUACAGAAAUUAUUUCUGAACGACGACAUAAUUCCUAUUCCAGUUUUAACUGGACAUUCCGUGUCGCGUUAAAACUGGAAUUGAAAUUACGGAAUAAGGUUUCUGUACCGCCCAAAUCUCGCCAAAUCUUCUUCAGCGUUUAUUCGCGACUAAAUCAAUUUUUCAGUCUGAAAAUAUUUCUCUGAUUACCUUACAUUUAGUUCGAACUAUAAUAAUAAUAAUAAUAAUUAUUUUUUUAACAA